This 22-nucleotide microRNA is filed under the name Bombyx mori (domestic silkworm). RNAcentral describes it as "bmo-miR-3000". The record is from miRBase by way of RNAcentral. Lineage: Eukaryota; Metazoa; Arthropoda; Insecta; Lepidoptera; Bombycidae.
CUGCGCUUAGAUGAAGACACUA